GUAACACGUGGGUAACCUGCCUUAUAGUGGGGGAUAGCCUUUCGAAAGGAAGAUUAAUACCGCAUAAGAUUGUAGUAUCGCAUGAUAUAGCAAUUAAAGGAGCAAUUCGCUAUAAGAUGGACCCGCGUCGCAUUAGCUAGUUGGCGAGGUAAUGGCUCACCAAGGCGACGAUGCGUAGCCGACCUGAGAGGGUGAUCGGCCACAUUGGGACUGAGACACGGCCCAGACUCCUACGGGGGCAGCAUGA
RNAcentral lists this ribosomal RNA (247 nucleotides) under uncultured bacterium. RNAcentral's name for it is "partial 16S ribosomal RNA". It matches the Rfam family "Bacterial small subunit ribosomal RNA", at positions 110 to 353 of the family's 1533-position model. The record is from RNAcentral.